GCGGAUAUAGCUUGAAGCAGGUGAAGCGCACACAUUAGAUUGUGUGAGUCGCGGGUUCAACUCCCGCUAUCCGUA
Molecule: transfer RNA, 75 nt
Filed under: Leuconostoc lactis
Lineage: Bacteria; Bacillati; Bacillota; Bacilli; Lactobacillales; Lactobacillaceae
Description: tRNA-Leu
Rfam family: tRNA
About the family: Transfer RNA (tRNA) molecules are approximately 80 nucleotides in length. Their secondary structure includes four short double-helical elements and three loops (D, anti-codon, and T loops). Further hydrogen bonds mediate the characteristic L-shaped molecular structure. tRNAs have two regions of fundamental functional importance: the anti-codon, which is responsible for specific mRNA codon recognition, and the 3' end, to which the tRNAs corresponding amino acid is attached (by aminoacyl-tRNA synthetases). tRNAs cope with the degeneracy of the genetic code in two manners: having more than one tRNA (with a specific anti-codon) for a particular amino acid; and 'wobble' base-pairing, i.e. permitting non-standard base-pairing at the 3rd anti-codon position.
Source: RNAcentral